CAACUCGUAGCUUAAUUAAAGCAUCUUGCUUACACCAAGAAAAUACUCGUUAAACCCGGGCCAAGUUGA
Molecule: transfer RNA, 69 nt
Filed under: Salamandra algira (North African fire salamander)
Lineage: Eukaryota; Metazoa; Chordata; Amphibia; Caudata; Salamandridae
Also listed under: 1 other name
Description: tRNA-Val
Rfam family: tRNA
About the family: Transfer RNA (tRNA) molecules are approximately 80 nucleotides in length.
Source: RNAcentral